Long non-coding RNA from Brassica rapa (field mustard), 816 nucleotides. RefSeq lists it as uncharacterized. Lineage: Eukaryota; Viridiplantae; Streptophyta; Magnoliopsida; Brassicales; Brassicaceae. The record is from RefSeq and is a predicted model, not a curated record.
UAAACAACCUUCCAAUGUUUAAAACAGAGACAAAAGAAUACUCACUCCGUUUCUUAAUAGACAUGUAUUUUUUGCUUUUCAAUGUAAAAUUUAUUAGUUUUUAUGUAAUACGACUUUAUAUAUUUAUUAUUUAGCAAAUUGCUUUUUCUAUUCGUUGAUAUUUGGUUAGGUAGAUAAUUAUCUAGAAAAUGUACAAAUCAAAAUAUUUUAUUAAACGUGUGUCCAACUCCAAAACGUCAUAUAAUAAAAAAAAACUAGUAAAGGUACUCACAGGAUGACCAGUAAACUUCUGUACUUUCUUGAGAUCAGAGCACUUAAAAGUCUUCAACUGAGCAGAUGCAGUGGCUAAUACUUUACCAUCUACAAAUUGGGAGGAAACAAAACAUCAUCAUCAGCAGGCAAAAACCAAUGGAAGCACUACACACCUGGUGAAACAGAUAAAGAAGAAACUGCUUUUGUUGAAGCUUUGAACUUUCUGAUAAGAUUCCCACUUUGUGGAUCAAUUUCACAAACCAUCCCAUCUGCUCCACCGCUGUAUAUGCAGGAGGCCUUUGCAGAAGAUGAAACAGCAUUCACGCCACUGCACAAACAGCAUUCACACAUCAGCAAAAUUACAAAACAUCAUCGGUAAGUAAGCACAUCAGUUACACUCACCCGGGAUGACAGUCACUAAUCCUCCAUUUAAGCUGACCAGAAGCAACAUCAAGUGCUAAAACAUCUCCUCCACCAGUUCCCAAAACCAAUAUAGAAGUUCCAAGUUUUCUCUUCUUCUGAAAAUAACAAGAAUCAAACUUAUUUUCAAUUUAAAAAAUUAAA